AGAUUGAACGCUGGCGGCAGGCCUAACACAUGCAAGUCGAGCGGUAGAGAGGUACUUGCAUCUCUUGAGAGCGGCGGACGGGUGAGUAAUGCCUAGGAAUCUGCCUAGUGGUGGGGGAUAACGUUCGGAAACGGACGCUAAUACCGCAUACGCCCUUAGGGGGAAAGCAGGGAUCGCAAGACCUUGCACUAUUGGAGCGGCCGAUAUCGGAUUAGCUAGUUGGUGAGGUAAUGGCUCACCAAGGCUGCGAUCCGUAGCUGGUUUGAGAGGACGACCAGCCACACUGGGACUGAGACACGGCCCAGACUCCUACGGGAGCAGCAGGUGGGAAUUUUGGACAAUGGGGAAACCUGGAAUCCAGCCAGUCCCGCGUGUGCGAUGAAGGCCUUGGUUAGUAAGCUACGUUUGGCGAAGGAAAGAAACGGACGCGUA
This 432-nucleotide ribosomal RNA is filed under the name uncultured soil bacterium. Its description in RNAcentral is "bacterial SSU rRNA". It matches the Rfam family "Bacterial small subunit ribosomal RNA", at positions 26 to 462 of the family's 1533-position model. The record is from RNAcentral.